This 262-nucleotide ribosomal RNA is filed under the name uncultured bacterium. RNAcentral's name for it is "partial 16S ribosomal RNA". It matches the Rfam family "Bacterial small subunit ribosomal RNA", at positions 57 to 305 of the family's 1533-position model. The record is from RNAcentral.
GCAAGUCGAGCGGAAACGACACUAACAAUCCUUCGGGUGCGUUAAUGGGCGUCGAGCGGCGGACGGGUGAGUAAUGCCUAGGAAAUUGCCUUGAUGUGGGGGAUAACCAUUGGAAACGAUGGCUAAUACCGCAUAAUGCCUACGGGCCAAAGAGGGGGAUCUUCAGACCUCUCGGGUCAAGAUAUGCAUAGGUGGGAUUAGCUAGUUGGUGAGGUAAUGGCUCACCAAGGCGACGAUCCCUAGCGGGUCUGAGAGGAUGAUC